GACUCCCAGGAAACAGGAUGAUUACUUCCAGAAUCUUAAGGGAUCCGGUCCUUCCUCAGAGUAAGCUCAGCCUCAACAAGGAGCUUUUGGAGCCUCCAUACAGGGUUUCUGUCCUUCCAGACUGAGGAAAGGGCAGGGGGACCUUGGCCUCUUUCCUUGGUGUGAGGAUUCCCACAUAUACACAGACAAUUUAUAGUUAAUGUGUGAAGCUGCUUGACGUGGGACCAUCAGUG
RNAcentral lists this long non-coding RNA (233 nucleotides) under Bos taurus (domestic cattle). RNAcentral describes it as "long non-coding RNA NONBTAT023632". Lineage: Eukaryota; Metazoa; Chordata; Mammalia; Artiodactyla; Bovidae. The record is from RNAcentral.